This 507-nucleotide ribosomal RNA is filed under the name uncultured bacterium. RNAcentral's name for it is "partial 16S ribosomal RNA". It matches the Rfam family "Bacterial small subunit ribosomal RNA", at positions 28 to 507 of the family's 1533-position model. The record is from RNAcentral.
GACGAACGCUGGCGGCGUGCCUAAUACAUGCAAGUCGAACGCAUUUUCUUUCACCGUAGCUUGCUACACCGAAAGAAAAUGAGUGGCGAACGGGUGAGUAACACGUGGGUAACCUGCCCAUCAGCGGGGGAUAACACUUGGAAACAGGUGCUAAUACCGCAUAAUUCCAUUUACCGCAUGGUAGAUGGAUGAAAGGCGCUUUUGCGUCACUGAUGGAUGGACCCGCGGUGCAUUAGCUAGUUGGUGGGGUAACGGCCUACCAAGGCUGCGAUGCAUAGCCGACCUGAGAGGGUGAUCGGCCACACUGGGACUGAGACACGGCCCAGACUCCUACGGGAGGCAGCAGUAGGGAAUCUUCGGCAAUGGACACAAGGCUGACCGAGCAACGCCGCGGGAGGGAAGAAGGGUUUCGGAUCGUAAAACUCUGUUGUUAGAGAAGAAAAAGGAUGAGAGUGGAAAGUUCAUCCCUUGACGGUAUCUAAACAGAAAGCCACGGCUAACUACGUG